Molecule: ribosomal RNA, 529 nt
Filed under: uncultured bacterium
Lineage: Bacteria
Description: partial 16S ribosomal RNA
Rfam family: Bacterial small subunit ribosomal RNA
Source: RNAcentral
UGGGGAAUAUUGCACAAUGGGCGCAAGCCUGAUGCAGCCAUGCCGCGUGUGUGAAGAAGGCCUUCGGGUUGUAAAGCACUUUCAGCGAGGAGGAAGGUGGUGAGCUUAAUACGCUCAUCAAUUGACGUUACUCGCAGAAGAAGCACCGGCUAACUCCGUGCCAGCAGCCGCGGUAAUACGGAGGGUGCAAGCGUUAAUCGGAAUUACUGGGCGUAAAGCGCACGCAGGCGGUUUGUUAAGUCAGAUGUGAAAUCCCCGGGCUCAACCUGGGAACUGCAUUUGAAACUGGUAAGCUAGAGUCUCGUAGAGGGGGGUAGAAUUCCAGGUGUAGCGGUGAAAUGCGUAGAGAUCUGGAGGAAUACCGGUGGCGAAGGCGGCCCCCUGGACGAAGACUGACGCUCAGGUGCGAAAGCGUGGGGCAGCAAACAGGAUUAGAUACCCUGGUAGUCCACGCUGUAAACGAUGUCGAUUUUGGAGGUUGUGCCCUUGAGGCGUGGCUUCCGGAGCUAACGCGUUAAAUCGACCGCCU